CCUACGGGUGGCUGCAGUUAGGAAUCUUGCGCAAUGGGCGAAAGCCUGACGCAGCCAUGCCGCGUGAAUGAUGAAGGUCUUAGGAUUGUAAAAUUCUUUCAGCAGGGAAGAUAAUGACGGUACCUGCAGAAGAAGCUCCGGCUAACUUCGUGCCAGCAGCCGCGGUAAUACGAAGGGGGCUAGCGUUGCUCGGAAUUACUGGGCGUAAAGGGCGCGUAGGCGGAUGACUAAGUCGGGGGUGAAAGCCCGGGGCUCAACCUCGGAACUGCCUUCGAUACUGGUCAUCUUGAGUACGGGAGAGGUGUGUGGAACUCCGAGUGUAGAGGUGAAAUUCGUAGAUAUUCGGAAGAACACCAGUGGCGAAGGCGACACACUGGCCCGUUACUGACGCUGAGGCGCGAAAGCGUGGGGAGCAAACAGGAUUAGAUACCCCUGUAGUC
This 440-nucleotide ribosomal RNA is filed under the name uncultured bacterium. RNAcentral's name for it is "bacterial SSU rRNA". It matches the Rfam family "Bacterial small subunit ribosomal RNA", at positions 338 to 795 of the family's 1533-position model. The record is from RNAcentral.